Molecule: long non-coding RNA, 1707 nt
Organism: Malaclemys terrapin pileata
Lineage: Eukaryota; Metazoa; Chordata; Testudines; Emydidae
Exons: 3
Source: RefSeq, a predicted model, not a curated record
UAUCUUUAGUUCCUUCUCCACCACAGAUCUAACAGAUCCGCAGCAGAGGGGAAGGAGGGUGAGAUUGAAAUACAGAUAGGGACCACACAUCUCAAAGAACUUCCAGUUACAGGAAGGAGAGGACUAGAAGGAGCUGGAUGUCGACUCUUGAGUUUCCUUUCUGGAUCGUGCCACCAGCAGCCAGUUGUCUAGAUGGGAAGAGUGUUUCCUGCCACCAUCCAGAAGAACAAUCAAAAUCAGAUGGGAACAUCGCAAUACAAAGGAUUGAUUAAUGGCCCUAUCGCAUUUUAGAAAUACCACAUGCAAGGAAGCUGGUCUAUGGACUUGGAGGCUGAAUGAUGGAAAUGAAAAAAAGACACAGGAAGAUGUUAGAUCUCUCUGCAGUUUGAACUCUGACAGGGCCAGAGACUCUAAACUGAGAGGCAGAGACACCCAGGAGUUGUCUGCCCUGAAAGCCAUCUUGAAUUGACAGAGAUGUAGUAUCUUUAAAAAUCAUAGAUGGUAACUCGUUUGUGUUUAUGUUUGCUUGCUUUAGCCUGGAAAUAAGAGAAUUAUUUCUUUUUUCUAGUUAAUAAACCUUUAAGUUAGGGCACGUCUUCACUACCCGCCGGAUCGAUGGGUAGCAAUCGUCUCUAGUGAAGACGCGAUAAAAUCGAUCCCUGAUUGCUCUGCCGUUGACUCCGGAAAUCCACUGCGGCAAGAGGCGGAAGCGGAGUCGACGAGCGGAGUCGACGGCGGCGCGGCAGCGGUCGACUCGCCGCCAUCCUCACAGUCAGGUAAGUCAACCUAAAAUACGCAACCUAUUCACGUAGCUGAAGUUGCGUAUCUUAGGUCGACCCCCCGACUCCCCUCCCACCCUCCACCCCCCACCCCAGUAGUGUAGACCUAGCCUUAGUUUAUUACAGGAUUGGCUACAGGCGUUGUCUUUGGUGUGAGAUCUAAGAUACAGAUCGAUCUGGGGUAAAUGACUGGUCUCUUGGGACUGGAAGCAACCUGAAUAUUGUGUGAUUUUUGGUUUAAGUAACCAUUUAUCACUAAAUCCAGUUUGCCUGGGUGGCAAAAUAGCCUGGAGAGUCUAAGGCAGAGUUUCUCAAAUGCGGCCACUGUGGCCGCAUGUGGCCACCAGGGGCUUUUCUUGCAGCCACAACCUCCUUGGCAGUGAUGCGGGAGGAAGGGGGAAAAGCAGUGGUCCUGCCCCAAGGGCCACCAACAAGAGACACAAAUGCUAGAGGAACAGGCAGCUAGUGAGUUCCCCACCUUCCCUGGGAUGUAGGCUCAGGCUCCAGCUCCAGGGUGGCAGACAGCAGGCUCUGGUCAUAGGGCUCAAACCCCCAACGGCAGGGCUACCCCCUAUCACCCUUGACCCCCGCCAGCCCGUCAUGCAUGAUGUCCCCCACAUCCCCCCUACUGAACUCCCUAUCCAAGGCUUAAUUUGUCCCUGGGCUUGCCAGGACUGAAUAAGUCUGCUGCUGUGAAAAGUGAUAUUUGUUAAUACCACUUUUAACAGCAGUAGACUUACUAGCUAGCAAGUCUUUUAACAAAAGCAGCCAAAAAAAGCAAAAGAAACGACAACAAAAAUGACAAGAACCUGCAGAGCACCUUAUUUGUGUUUCUAUUCUGUUACGGUCCUGUAAAGGAGAGAGACAACUGUACAUUAUUUUUAUUAUUGAGUCUGCAAAAAUAUUCAAUAAAUUACAAUGAUUUGGA